AAUGCGAUAAGUAAUGUGAAUUGCAGAAUUCAGUGAAUCAUCGAAUCUUUGAACGCACCUUGCGCUCCUUGGUAUUCCGAGGAGCAUGCCUGUUUGAGUGUCCUGGAAUUCUCAACUCUAUUUGCUUUUGUGAAUAGAGCUUGGAUUUGGAGGUUUAUUGCUGGUACUUGUGAUCGGCUCCUCUUGAAUGCAUUAGCUCGAACCUUUGCGGAUCAGCUAUCGGUGUGAUAAUUGUCUACGCCGUUGCAGUGAAGCAUAUCAAUGGGCUCGGCUUCCAAUCGUCCUUUACUGGACAAUGACUUUGACCUUUGACCUCAAAUCAGGUAGGAUUACCCGCUGAACUUAAGC
This 348-nucleotide unclassified non-coding RNA is filed under the name plant metagenome. RNAcentral's name for it is "partial contains 5.8S ribosomal RNA, internal transcribed spacer 2, and large subunit ribosomal RNA". The stretch from base 1 to 103 matches the Rfam family "5.8S ribosomal RNA", at positions 52 to 154 of the family's 154-position model. The record is from RNAcentral.